GCGAGUCAUUGUAGCAUACAAGGCAUACGGCUCAGUAACGCGUAGUCCACCUAACCUAUGGACGGGAAUAACCUCGGGAAACUGAGAAUAAUGCCCGAUAGAACAUUAUGCCUGGAAUGGUUUAUGUUCCAAAUGAUUUAUCGCCGUAGGAUGGGACUGCGGCCUAUCAGUUUGUUGGUGAGGUAAUGGCCCACCAAGACUAUUACAGGUACGGGCUCUGAGAGGAGUAGCCCGGAGAUGGGUACUGAGACACGGACCCAGGCCCUAUGGGGCGCAGCAGGCGAGAAAACUUUGCAAUGUGCGAAAGCACGACAAGGUUAAUCCGAGUGGUUUCUGCUAAAGAAACCUUUUGUCAGUCCUAGAAACACUGAUGAAUAAGGGGUGGGCAAGUUCUGGUGUCAGCCGCCGCGGUAAAACCAGCACCUCAAGUGGUCAGGAUGAUUAUUGGGCCUAAAGCAUCCGUAGCCGGCUCUGUAAGUUUUCGGUUAAAUCUGUACGCUCAACGUACAGGCUGCCGGGAAUACUGCAGAGCUAGGGAGUGGGAGAGGUAGACGGUACUCGGUAGGAAGGGGUAAAAUCCUUUGAUCUAUUGAUGACCACCUGUGGCGAAGGCGGUCUACCAGAACACGUCCGACGGUGAGGGAUGAAAGCUGGGGGAGCAAACCGGAUUAGAUACCCGGGUAGUCCCAGCUGUAAACUAUGCAAACUCAGUGAUGCAUUGGCUU
This 725-nucleotide ribosomal RNA is filed under the name uncultured crenarchaeote. RNAcentral describes it as "bacterial SSU rRNA". It matches the Rfam family "Archaeal small subunit ribosomal RNA", at positions 53 to 785 of the family's 1478-position model. Lineage: Archaea; Thermoproteati; Thermoproteota. The record is from RNAcentral.